UACGGAGGGGGCUAGCGUUGUUCGGAAUUACUGGGCGUAAAGCGCACGUAGGCGGACUGUUAAGUCGGGGGUGAAAUCCCGGGGCUCAACCCCGGAACUGCCUUCGAUACUGGCAGUCUAGAGGAAGGUAGAGGCUAGUGGAAUGGCGAGUGUAGAGGUGAAAUUCGUAGAUAUUCGCCGGAACACCAGUGGCGAAGGCGACUGGCUGGACCUUUUCUGACGCUGAGGUGCGAAAGCGUGGGGAGCAAACAGG
This 253-nucleotide ribosomal RNA is filed under the name uncultured bacterium. RNAcentral's name for it is "partial 16S ribosomal RNA". It matches the Rfam family "Bacterial small subunit ribosomal RNA", at positions 524 to 776 of the family's 1533-position model. The record is from RNAcentral.